This is a non-coding RNA of Paramuricea clavata, 73 nucleotides long. The record is from the annotation of a GenBank genome assembly. NCBI's taxonomy places the organism in Eukaryota, Metazoa, Cnidaria, Anthozoa, Malacalcyonacea, Plexauridae.
UGCCGCGUAGCCCAGUUGGUAGAGCAUUGGGCUAGUAUUCCAAAGGUCGUAGGUUCGAUUCCCACCGUGGCCA